UAGGGAAUCUUGCGCAAUGGGCGAAAGCCUGACGCAGCGACGCCGCGUGCGGGAAGAAGGCCUUCGGGUUGUAAACCGCUUUCAGGAGGGACGAAGCCACUCGGGUUAAUAGCCCAGAGGGUGACGGUAGCGGGAGAAGAAGCCCCGGCUAAUUCCGUGCCAGCAGCCGCGGUAAUACGGAAGGGGCUAGCGUUGUUCGGAAUCACUGGGCGUAAAGCGCGCGUAGGCGGCUUGGCAAGUGCGGCGUGAAAGUCCUGGGCUCAACCUGGGGACGGCGCUGCGGACUGCUUGGCUGGAGUCCGGAAGAGGGUGGUGGAAUUCCGAGUGUAGAGGUGAAAUUCGUAGAUAUUCGGAGGAACACCGGGUGGCGAAGGCGGCCACCUGGUCCGGUACUGACGCUGAAGCGCGAAAGCGUGGGGAGCAAACAGGAUUAGAUACCCUGGUAGUCCACGCCGUAAACGAUGGGUGCUAGAUGUCGGGGGGCUUGCCCUUCGGUGUCGUAGCCAACGCGUUAAGCA
RNAcentral lists this ribosomal RNA (518 nucleotides) under uncultured Pseudomonadota bacterium. Its description in RNAcentral is "bacterial SSU rRNA". It matches the Rfam family "Bacterial small subunit ribosomal RNA", at positions 355 to 866 of the family's 1533-position model. The record is from RNAcentral. Lineage: Bacteria; Pseudomonadati; Pseudomonadota.